CCCGCACAAGCGGUGGAGCAUGUGGUUUAAUUCGACGCAACGCGAAGAACCUUACCAGGGCUUGACAUCCCCUGACCGCGUAUGAAAGUACGAAUUCACCUUCGGGUGACAGGGAGACAGGUGGUGCAUGGUUGUCGUCAGCUCGUGUCGUGAGAUGUUGGGUUAAGUCCCGCAACGAGCGCAACCCCUACGUUUAGUUGCUAACGCGUGAAGGCGAGCACUCUAGACGAACUGCCGUUGACAAAACGGAGGAAGGUGGGAUGACGUCAAAUCAUCAUGCCCCUUAUGUUCUGGGCUACACACGUGCUACAAUGGCCGGUACAGACGGACGCAAAGCCGCGAGGUGGAGCAAAUCCUAAAAAGCCGGUCUCAGUUCGGAUUGCAGGCUGCAAUUCGCCUGCAUGAAGUCGGAAUCGCUAGUAAUCGCAGGUCAGCAUACUGCGGUGAAUACGUUCCCGGGCCUU
This 464-nucleotide ribosomal RNA is filed under the name uncultured Pelotomaculum sp. Its description in RNAcentral is "bacterial SSU rRNA". It matches the Rfam family "Bacterial small subunit ribosomal RNA", at positions 920 to 1382 of the family's 1533-position model. Lineage: Bacteria; Bacillati; Bacillota; Clostridia; Eubacteriales; Desulfotomaculaceae. The record is from RNAcentral.